RNAcentral lists this long non-coding RNA (597 nucleotides) under Sus scrofa (pig). RNAcentral's name for it is "lncRNA (ENSSSCG00015020836.1)". Lineage: Eukaryota; Metazoa; Chordata; Mammalia; Artiodactyla; Suidae. The record is from RNAcentral.
AGAGCUCCUCCUCUGGAAGGUUUGGCCCUGAGCGAAAGGCACUUGGAAUCGACCUGGGAGGCUCCGAGGUCCCAUGUGAAACUGAGAAGGGAAACAGAAGUCAGGUGACACAAGAUGCAGCGGGCUCUGACACCGAAAGGCCACCGGACCUGAUGAAUACCUUUGUUUGCUGGGAAGAUGCCAUGGGGUCUCCGUUCCCAUCGUUGGUUUAAAAACAUUAACAACAGCUUAGCAGGAUCUUGUAAACAGCUGCUGUCCUUUGAUGCAGCAACCCAGGAAGAAAGAGCCCAGCACUUUUGCCAGCACGGUGGAAGUUUGAAGUUUUUAAAAGAGGAAUUUGCUCCUGAAAUUCAGGGAUAACAGUGCAUGUGGUCUUGACUGUAAAGACAAGAAUAAGACAAGUGAAAAAUCUCAAAUACUGCUUGAAGUUCUUGAACUGGAUGGCCAUAUCUUCCACUGAAAAUAUGAGAUUCUACAUGUUGUAUAAGUAUUUUGAAACAUCGUACUAACUCUUGGAGUAUGUGGGACAAUGUCUUCUUCUUUUAAGUGUUUUUUUGUAUUUUUUUUAACAACUUAAUAAAUGUGAUUACUAUCUCA